UACGUAGGGGGCAAGCGUUGUCCGGAUUUAUUGGGCGUAAAGAGCUCGUAGGCGGUUUGGUAAGUCUGGUGUGAAAUCUCCACGCUCAACGUGGAGGGGCCACCCGAUACUGCCAUGACUGGAGUCCGGUAGAGGAGUGUGGAAUUCCCGGUGUAGCGGUGAAAUGCGCAGAUAUCGGGAGGAACACCCGUAGCGAAGGCGGCUCUCUGGGACGGUACUGACGCUGAGUGAGCGAAAGCCAGGGGAGCAAACGGG
RNAcentral lists this ribosomal RNA (255 nucleotides) under uncultured bacterium. Its description in RNAcentral is "partial 16S ribosomal RNA". It matches the Rfam family "Bacterial small subunit ribosomal RNA", at positions 524 to 776 of the family's 1533-position model. The record is from RNAcentral.